UUAUGAUUACUUUUUUAGGUUAUGAUUACAUAUGUAUCCGAAUGGCUUUCGCCAAUCUGCAAAACCCAUAAUGUACAUCAAGCCAUACAAAGUUAUAAGUAUAACAAAAUUUUUAAUGUAAAGCAAUCCAAACGAGAAAACUCACGGACUUAUUAAUGCAUACACAAAAACAACUGAAUUAGAGGAGCCUGACUUUUUUUUGACAAAAAAACUAAAAUGAUAUUUGUUCAAAUAUAUUAGGGAAAACUCGUGGCAAUUUAAAAAAAAAACCAGCACACUUAUUAAACGUAUAUUCUGAAUAUGGUGUG
RNAcentral lists this long non-coding RNA (308 nucleotides) under Mytilus galloprovincialis (Mediterranean mussel). Lineage: Eukaryota; Metazoa; Mollusca; Bivalvia; Mytilida; Mytilidae. The record is from RNAcentral.